RNAcentral lists this ribosomal RNA (316 nucleotides) under Cybaeus giganteus. RNAcentral describes it as "partial 12S ribosomal RNA". The record is from RNAcentral. Lineage: Eukaryota; Metazoa; Arthropoda; Arachnida; Araneae; Cybaeidae.
AGAAAGUGUAUUUAUACAAUAUAAAACUAUUUAUUUUGGCGGCAUUUCAUCUAAUCAGAGGAAUUUGUUAUUUAAUAGAUAAUACACUAUAAUUUUCACUUUAUUCUAAAAUUUAUAUACCUCCAUCAAAAGAAUUUAUUUAAAAAUAUAUUCAUAAUAAAAAUUUACAAGUUAGGUCAAGGUGUAGUUUACAUUAAAGUUUUAAUGAAUUACUUUGAAUAAAAUUUAAGAAUUAAAUAACAUUAAUUAUUUAUAAAAAAGGAUUUGAAAAUAAUUUUAAAAUAAAAUUUUAUUAUGAAUAAGAAAAUAAAUGUGU